UGGGGAAUUUUGCACAAUGGGGGGAACCUUGAUGCAGCGACGCCGCGUGAGGGAUGGAGGCCUUCGGGUUGUGAACCUCUUUCGCUCGUGUGCAAGCCGCUAUUUGGGUAGUGGUGAGUGUAGCGGGUAAAGAAGCGCCGGCUAACUACGUGCCAGCAGCCGCGGUAAUACGUAGGGCGCGAGCGUUGUCCGGAUUUAUUGGGCGUAAAGGGCUUGUAGGUGGCUGGUUGCGUCUGUCGUGAAAGCUCAUGGCUUAACUGUGGGUUUGCGGUGGGUACGGGCUGGCUUGAGUGCAGUAGGGGAGGCUGGAAUUCCUGGUGUAGCGGUGGAAUGCGCAGAUAUCAGGAGGAAUACCGGUGGCGAAGGCGGGUCUCUGGGCUGUUACUGACGCUGAGGAGCGAAAGCGUGGGGAGCGAACAGG
RNAcentral lists this ribosomal RNA (421 nucleotides) under Fusobacteriota bacterium. RNAcentral's name for it is "Fusobacteria bacterium partial 16S ribosomal RNA". It matches the Rfam family "Bacterial small subunit ribosomal RNA", at positions 355 to 776 of the family's 1533-position model. Lineage: Bacteria; Fusobacteriati; Fusobacteriota. The record is from RNAcentral.